Molecule: non-coding RNA, 103 nt
Organism: Cellulophaga algicola DSM 14237
Lineage: Bacteria; Pseudomonadati; Bacteroidota; Flavobacteriia; Flavobacteriales; Flavobacteriaceae
Source: Rfam
ACAACUACGAGUUGGUUAUGUAGAGAAGUCAGCAGAAGUCAUAGUACUUAUGAGAAACGAGUUGCAAAUAGCAAUUGCAUAGGUCUCACGAGUAAGGAAGGAC